AUAUAUUAACAUCUAAGAACAAAGUUUAUCAUGUUUAUAAGCAAAGUUGGAUAUUUGUAUUGAUUUUAUAUUUUGUUUUUUUUUUUUACAAUAAUUAAUUAAGAUUAUUAUUUUAAUUCAUUGUACUUAAUUAACAUCUUUUUUUAAAGUCGACGUAGAUAAUUUCUAAGACAUGCCUCGAUAUAAUUUAAAAAAACAAUGUCGAUAAGUAGGUACUCGUAAAAUAUGUCUGCUAGCAGUGCAAACAGAACUACGACUAUAUUCACUGACUAGCGUGAUUGCAUUUAAUAACGAGACAGGUAUAUAAUCUACAUACUUAUUAUAAUGUUAUAAAACUCACAAGGUACAUUUAAAUAAUUACAAAAAUAAAACAUUAUUUAUAAAAUAAUCAUAAGAUAAACAUUUGGCGAAAAUGUUACGUAUCUAGUAUUUAACAGUUAAAUUUAGGUAUAUUAAAAUUGCAAUAUUAAUUACAUAAUAAUAUACAGUGGUGAAAUUGAGUUUUUUUUUACUCUCUACAUCUUAUUUAUAAUUGUUAUACUUAUAAAACUGUACAAAGUCCAUAAAAUAUUACGCAAUUUAUGGCUGAAUGACUCGAGUUGAUAAAUUAUAGCUAAUUAGUCAAGUACUAUAAUAUGAAAUUUUAAUCUGUAUUUCUGUUAAAUUUGGAAUGGCUAUAAUAUUAUUAUCAAAUUGAAGUUGAUUUAUUCAAACUUUUAGUUUGCUUAAUUUAUCAUAGAAGCGUGUAUUGAACAGUUAAAUUAAUAGUUAUUAGUUACCACAAUAAGUUUGCAGUGUUUGAAAUGUUUUUGUAAAACAAUAAAAAGUAAUAAUUCUAAUAAGAAUAAAAUGUAAAAAAACAUACCAAUGCAAUAAUACUAUAUUUUUAAGACAACGGAAUAAUUAACAGUUAGACAUUUUCAUUAACUUCAUAACACGCAUUAUACGAUUUUAUUACAAAUACAUUAUGUACAGAGAAAUACCAAAGGCAGAUAGUAAAGUAGAACGUCCUUCUAAUCCAAGAUGUAAUGCAAACAUUUUGGAAAUCAUCACAUACAGCUGGAUGUCAAACCUACUAAAAAUAGGACGACGCAGAGAUUUAAAUGAAAUAGAUUUGUAUACGACAUUGGACGAUCAUACAUCAUCACCAUUAGGUGAUAAAUUAGAAAAGAUAUGGAGAUCGGAGUUGGCUAAUGCAUGUUUAGUGAAUCGAAAGCCGGCAUUGUGGAGAGCUUUGAUCCGAAUGUUUGGUACUAAAUUUAUGUUUCUUGGAUUUGUUAUUUGCAUAAGUGAAAUUAUUUUCACAAUAUCUCAACCUAUAUUAAUUGGUGAACUAUUAGAAUAUUUCAAUUCCGAUAAUACAGAAAAUUCUGAUAUAAGAUAUGCUUAUAUAUGUGCAUCUGGUUUAGUAAUCAGCUCAUUAAUAACAACAGUUGUACGCUAUUUAACGCAGCAGGAUCUUAUGGAUGAAGCGUUGAAGACGCGAGUUGCAAGUUCUUCUUUAAUUUACAAAAAGGCAUUAUAUUUAAGUAAUAAAGCUCUUGGUAAAACAACAGUUGGCCAAAUGAUAACUUUGAUAUCAAAUGACGUUAAUCAAUUUGAUGUACUAUAUCAUAAAUUACAUUUUUUAUGGAUUGGACCAUUGCAAACAAUAGUAGCUACAUAUUUAUUGUGGCAGGAAAUCGGUGUCUCGUCGUUAAUUGGAAUAGCUUUUUUCUUUGUUUUUAUUCCGUUGCAAGGUUUAAUGGGGAAAAAAAUGUCUGAAAUCCAUCUCAAGAUAGUGAAGAAGACUGAUGAGAGAAUACGUCUAAUGAAUGAAAUCAUUUUGGGAAUACAAGUGAUUAAAAUGUACACGUGGGAAAAGCCUUUUAGUAAACUUAUAGAAUACGUGAGAAAAUUAGAAGUUGAACAGAUUAAAGGAUCAACAUUUCUUGGAUUCAUUUCUAUAUCGUUCAAAGUAUUUCAAACAAGAUUUCAACUAUUCGUCAGUAUCGUAUUAUACAUCUUAUUAGGAAAUCACCUAUCUGUGCACAAAGUUUAUGUUCUUACAUCAAUAUACACUAUUUUGCAUGUGGGAAUGGUAGUAAUGUUCUCUGUCGGUUUGCUGAAAAUCGGUGAAUGCAUUGUAUCUAUUAAACGUAUCGAGAACUUCUUAUUGCUCGAGGAAAAAGAUCAAAUACCAGUUCUAAAACGUUGUUCGAAAUCUAAUACAGUAGAGGACAAUUAUGUUAAUAAAUUACUUAUUGCUGAUGACAAUAUUACAAAAACUUGUAAGGAUUUUAAAAAUAACAACGAAUUUUAUGAUAAUUAUAGUUUAGUUCUUAUGAAUGUAACUGCGAAAUGGACAAACGAUCAUAAAAAUAAUACACUAGAAAAAAUUAAUUUAACCGUAAGACCUGGACAAUUGUUUGCAAUUAUUGGAACAGUAGGAGCUGGAAAGAGUUCAUUAUUACAAGCAAUUUUAAGGGAAUUACCAAUUUCCGAAGGAAGAAUAUCUGUUCAUGGUGUAAUAUCUUAUGCAUCACAAGAACCAUGGGUAUUUUCUGGUACUAUUCAACAAAAUAUUCUUUUUGGAUCACCAAUGGACGAAGAACGUUUUAAAGAAGUUAUUGAUGUCUGUGCUCUAAAAAACGAUCUUGAACAUUUUCCACUUGGCCAUGAAACGGUAGUAGGAGAAAGAGGAAUAACUUUGAGUGGAGGACAAAAAGCAAGAAUUAAUUUAGCUAGAGCGGUGUACAAAAAAGCGGAUAUUUACUUACUUGAUGAUCCACUUUCAGCUGUUGAUGUUAAAGUUGGCAAGCAUUUAUUUGAAAAAUGCAUUUUAGAUUAUUUAAAAUUAAACACAUGUAUUCUUAUAACGCACCAAGUACAUUAUUUAUCUGAAGUUGAUCAAAUUGUUCUAAUGGAUAAUGGUAAUAUUGUAACGGUAGGAUCUUACCAAGAUCUAAAAGCCUCCAGUUUUGACUUUACAAAAUUACUUGGAUCUUCAGAAGGCACUAAUAUUGAAAAUGAAUUUGAAAAUAGUAAUAAUAUCAAAAAUGUUGGUGUCGACUCAAACUUGGUUUCAACUAUGCAUGGAUCUAACAAUAACGUUAUAUCAUCUAAAUAUAAAAAUCAAAUUAGUGAUAACCAUACUUCAAAACUUAAUGAUAAAUCACUACUUCAGUCUAAUAAAUAUAAUUGCAAAAAUACAUUUAUAGAAUACAUUAUGGCUAGUGGAAAUACACUUAGCAUUUUGUUUUGUUUAUUUAUGUGUAUUUGUACUCAACUACUAACUACCAGUGGAGAUCUUUGGCUUAGCUUUUGGGUUAAUCAGGAAAUUUAUGAAUUUGAUAAACUAUUAAAUACGUCUCAGAGUAAUGAUACAUCUGCAAUGUCUAGUGAUUCAUAUAGUAUAUCGUUAUUGUCAAAUUUCCAACUAAAUAAUAUUACUGUUUAUGUUUUCUUAAUGGUUGCCACGAUAUUAUCAACUAUUGUUAGGUCUGCUUCUUUUGUUAAAAUGACUACGAAAGCUUCAAUGAAUUUACACAAUCGUAUGUUAAAUUCCACUAUAAGAACCAACAUGUUUUUUUUCAAUACAAAUACAUCAGGACAAAUAUUAACCCGCUUUUCUAAAGACAUGGAAGCUGUGGAUAAAAUCUUACCAGAUAGUUUUUUGGACGCCUUUCAAAUUCUUUUGUUUAAUAUUGCAACUAUAAUUAUUAUUGGAUAUACUAAUAUUUAUCUUUUAAUACCGACAUUUAUCGUGGUUAUUAUUAUUUACAAGCUAAGAUUUUUGUUCAUCAAUACAUCUCAAAGUAUCAAAAGAUUAGAAGGAGCUACACGAAGUCCUGUAUUAGCUCAUAUGAAUGCAUCAUUACAAGGUUUAACAACAAUAAGGGCAUUUAAAGUAGAGAAUAUUUUAUCCCGAGAAUUUGAUAAACAUCAAGAUUUACAUUCCUCUGCUUCGCAUUUGUGUACGAGUUUAGUUCUAGGAUUCGGAUUUUGGUUGGAUAUAACUUGUAUCAUUUACAUAAGUAUUGUAACUUUCAGCUUUUUAGUAAUCGGCAACAAUGUCUAUGGUGGAACUAUUGGUCUUGCUCUUACACAAAUCAUGGGAUUACUCGGUCGAAUCCAAUGGGGAAUAAGACAAUCAACAAUUUUAGAAAGCCAAAUGGUACCAGUUAAAAGAAUAUUAGAAUACACACAUUUAGCACUGGAAGAUAGUAAUCAAUCGACUAAUGUAAAAAAUCCACCAAAAGAAUGGCCUUAUUCGGGAAAAAUCGUAUUCAAAAAUUUUAAUCUACGUUACAGCCUAAAUUCACCCUAUGUAUUGAAAGAUCUAAAUAUUGAAAUUCGAUCAAUGGAAAAAAUUGGUAUUGUUGGCCGGACCGGUGCAGGCAAAUCAUCUUUUAUCGGAGCAUUAUUUAGAUUAGCUCUUAAUGAAGGUAAAAUCAUCAUUGACGGUGUAGAUAUACAUGAAUUGGUGCUCAAAGACCUGAGAUCUAAGUUAUCUAUAAUUCCUCAGGAACCAGUAUUGUUUUCUGGCACAAUGCGAACAAACUUAGAUCCAUUUGAUGAAUACCCAGAUCAUGAUCUUUGGAAUGCUCUAGAUGAAGUUGAACUCAAAAAUUUUGUGGAGGGUUUGCCCGGUGGUCUUAACUCAAAAUUGUCAAAUAGUGGUUCGAACUUCAGUGUCGGUCAACGCCAAUUAGUUUGUUUAGCUAGAGCUAUACUACAAAACAAUAAAAUCCUAAUAUUGGACGAGGCCACUGCCAAUGUUGAUCCACUGACUGAUAAAUUGAUUCAAAAUACAAUAAGAAAUAAAUUUAAAAAUUGCACAGUACUAACAAUUGCUCACCGUAUAAAUACUAUUAUGGAUUCCGAUAGAGUAUUAGUUAUGGACUUUGGAAAAAUAGUUGAAGUUGAUCACCCGUAUAAUUUGUUGAAGAACACCGAUGGUUAUUUUUACAAAAUGGUAGAGCAAACGGGAAAGGAUACAGCUUACUAUUUACACAGUUUAGUUUCACAGAGUUAUACAACAGUACAGUAGAUAAAAAAAUCUCCGAGCAAUUCAAUUAUUGAAGAAGUUGUUUAGAAAAAUUAUAAAGAAGUUGUAUAUUAAUAACGUUCAUGUAUUUGUACAAAGUAGAACAGUUAAACAAAACUUAUACAUAAUCGUUGUAUCAUCUAUUCAAAAAUCAGAUGGUAACACACAAAGUUAAUACUAUAAAUCUACUCAUAUUUUAACAUAGAAAAUACGAUAAUACAGCAUAUUGUACAUUUUGUUCGUAAAAAAAAAAAUCUUAAUUUUUUUUCUAUGAUAUAUAGGAUAUGGUUAGAAAAUAUAUUUCUAUCCGCUUCAUUAUGUGAUUUUGAUUUGGUGGGGGAGUCCGAAGAAGAUAUUAACUAAUAAAUAAGAUGUAAAAUAAAAUGUAAUGGAGCGAGGAGUAACCACAGAAUAAAUUGUACUGCUAGACCACAAGUAAAUGGCCCAAACGAGACUGAUAACAAACUAGCUGUACUAGCACCGAAUAAUUAAUCAAGUUGGGUACCUCUUAUAAUAUAAUAUAUAUAGCUUUACAUUUAGUUCAGCUAAUACGUAUACAUAUACAGUAUACUGUGAAGCAUAAGUUUACCAAGUAAACAUUUAAUUAAGUUAUUACUAUGUACUUAAUAUAUUUAUUAUUUGUUACUUAAAUAUUGUCCAUCUAUAUUAUAACCGACGGUUUUGAUUAUUAAACCAGUGAA
Molecule: RNA transcript, 5730 nt
Organism: Aphis gossypii (cotton aphid)
Lineage: Eukaryota; Metazoa; Arthropoda; Insecta; Hemiptera; Aphididae
Gene name: ATP-binding cassette sub-family C member 4-like
Exons: 27
Source: RefSeq, a predicted model, not a curated record